This 502-nucleotide ribosomal RNA is filed under the name uncultured Glomeromycotina. RNAcentral describes it as "partial small subunit ribosomal RNA". It matches the Rfam family "Eukaryotic small subunit ribosomal RNA", at positions 591 to 1092 of the family's 1831-position model. The record is from RNAcentral. Lineage: Eukaryota; Fungi; Glomeromycota.
CCAAUAGCGUAUAUUAAAGUUGUUGCAGUUAAAAAGCUCGUAGUUGGACUUCGGGGUCUACCCAUUGGUCAGGCUUAAUUGUCUGCACUGGUGAGAUGGAUCUCUACCUUCUGAGGAACUUUCAUGCCAUUUAUUUGGUGUGAUGGGAAAUCAGGACUGUUACUUUGAAAAAAUUAGAGUGUUUAAAGCAGACUAUCGUCUGAAUACAUUAGCAUGGAAUAAUGAAAUAGGACGGACUGAUUCUAUUUCGUUGGUUUCUAGGAUCACCGUAAUGAUUAAUAGGGAUAGUUGGGGGCAUUAGUAUUCAAUUGUCAGAGGUGAAAUUCUUGGAUUUAUUGAAGACUAACUACUGCGAAAGCAUUUGCCAAGGAUGUUUUCAUUAAUCAAGAACGAAAGUUAGGGGAUCGAAGACGAUCAGAUACCGUCGUAGUCUUAACCAUAAACUAUGCCGACUAGGGAUCGGACGAAGUUAAUUUUAUAAUGACGCGUUCGGCACCUUACG